Molecule: ribosomal RNA, 1279 nt
Filed under: Geoscapheus dilatatus
Lineage: Eukaryota; Metazoa; Arthropoda; Insecta; Blattodea; Blaberidae
Description: 16S ribosomal RNA
Rfam family: Archaeal large subunit ribosomal RNA (bases 1039-1197)
Source: RNAcentral
ACUUAUUAUGGAGGGAUAAAAUUUAUUUAAAAAAAAAAUUUAUUUGUUUUUGUAUUUAUUAAUAAUUUAAUUUUAUUUGGUGAUAAAGUAUUUGUACUGUGAAGGUUGAUUGAAAUAGAAAUAUUUAUUAUUUAAGUUGAUUUUAUUUAUUGUACCUUGUGUAUCAGGGUUAAUUAAAUGUUUAUUAUAAAUUUUAAUGUUCUCGAUUUUAUNAGAGUUAAUUUAUUAUUUUAGUUAUUGUUUUAUAAAUAUUAAUAAUGGUAAGUUGGUAAUGAUAUGUUAAUCGUUUAUGAGGAUAUCUAGUUUUUUGGGAAAUAAAUUUAAUUUACAUUUUUUCUUUAAUUUUUUUUCUUUUUAAUAUAGUUUAAGUUUAAAUGAAUAAUAAGGGGGAUAAGCUCCUUAUUAGAUUUCUAUAAAAUAUAAUUUUUGAUUAAAUUGUGUGGAUUUAAUGAUGAUUAUCAUUGUGAGUAUGUUAAAAUAUUAUUUAUUUAUUAUUUAAUUUUAGUGUUUUUAGAUUUGUACUAAAAAAUUUUAGUAAAUUUUUUUUUGAUUUUAAUUAUGAUUAAAUUAGUAUAUUAAUAUAUUUAUAUAAUUUUUUAUUGGUAAGUAAAUUUGAGGAAUUAGGCAAGGGAAUUAUUCGCCUGUUUAACAAAAACAUCUUUUCUUGUAUUUGAAUAUGAAGUAUAACCUGCUCAAUGAAGUUUAAAUAGCCGCGGUAUAUUGACCGUGCAAAGGUAGCAUAAUCAUUAGUCUUUUAAUUGUAGGCUGGAAUGAAUGGUUGGACGAAAUAAUAACUUUCUUAAAUUUAUUAUUUUGAAUUUAAUUAUUGUGUUAAAAAGCACAAAUUUUUUUUUGGGACGAGAAGACCCUAUAGAGUUUAAUAAUUAAUAUAUUUUUUAGUAUUUGAUGUUUUAUUAAUUAUAUAAUAUUAUUUUGUUGGGGUGAUAUGAAGAUAUAAUAAACUCUUUUUAUUUAUUGUUUAUAAUUUAAUAUUUGUUUGAUCCAUUUUUAAUGAUUAAAAGAUUAAAUUACCUUAGGGAUAACAGCGUAAUCUUUUUUGAGAGUUCUUAUUGACAAUAAGGGUUGCGACCUCGAUGUUGGAUUAAGAUUAUUCUUGGGUGCAAAAGCUUAAGGUUUAGGUCUGUUCGACCUUUAAAUUCUUACAUGAUCUGAGUUCAAACCGGUGUGAGCCAGGUUGGUUUCUAUCUAUUAAUAAAUUUAUUAUUUUAGUACGAAAGGACCAAAUAAUAAAAAUAAUUUUUAUUAUUUGAAUAACAUU